AGUUGAGUUGAGUUGAGUUUUAAUUUUUAGUAAAGGACCCAAAGUCCACAUUUUUUUUUUAAUAAAAAUCACUCUUCAUGUCUUGCUGUCCUUAAAAUUUUAAAAUUAUAGCCAUCUCUUAUGAAAAUCUGCCGAUUGUCAAAUUUAGAGGCCUUAUUUUCAAAGAUAUGUUUUUUUUUAAUCAUUCUAAACUUCCUUAUACAAAAAAAUAAAUAAUUUUAAGCAUACUGUUUACACUAUAUUUGGAUUAUGAUUUGUGAUGGUUUCAUAUUAUAUGGUAUGGUUAAUGUACAUGCUUGGGAAGAUUGUUCGUAGCAAAAAAUGGUUUUGGGUUGUAACCAUAAUUUUAUCGUAGUUUUUUAAACCACUAAUUUAGUGGUUUGGCAUGGUUUAAAAUUU
RNAcentral lists this unclassified non-coding RNA (399 nucleotides) under Hevea brasiliensis (rubber tree). The record is from RNAcentral. Lineage: Eukaryota; Viridiplantae; Streptophyta; Magnoliopsida; Malpighiales; Euphorbiaceae.